This 433-nucleotide ribosomal RNA is filed under the name uncultured bacterium. RNAcentral's name for it is "partial 16S ribosomal RNA". It matches the Rfam family "Bacterial small subunit ribosomal RNA", at positions 29 to 507 of the family's 1533-position model. The record is from RNAcentral.
AACGAACGCUGGCGGCAUGCCUAACACAUGCAAGUCGAACGAGACCUUCGGGUCUAGUGGCGCACGGGUGCGUAACGCGUGGGAACCUGCCCUUAGGUUCGGAAUAACUCCCCGAAAGGGGUGCUAAUACCGGAUAAUGUCUUCGGCCCAAAGAUUUAUCGCCUUUGGAUGGGCCCGCGUUGGAUUAGCUAGUUGGUAGGGUAAAAGCCUACCAAGGCGACGAUCCAUAGCUGGUCUGAGAGGAUGGUCAGCCACACUGGGACUGAGACACGGCCCAGACUCCUACGGGAGGCAGCAGUGGGGAAUAUUGGACAAUGGGCGAAAGCCUGAUCCAGCAAUGCCGCGUGAGUGAUGAAGGCCUUAGGGUUGUAAAGCUCUUUUACCCGGGAUGAUAAUGACAGUACCGGGAGAAUAAGCUCCGGCUAACUCCGUG